RNAcentral lists this ribosomal RNA (717 nucleotides) under uncultured Acidobacteriota bacterium. RNAcentral describes it as "bacterial SSU rRNA". It matches the Rfam family "Bacterial small subunit ribosomal RNA", at positions 8 to 707 of the family's 1533-position model. The record is from RNAcentral. Lineage: Bacteria; Pseudomonadati; Acidobacteriota.
AGAGUUUGAUCCUGGCUCAGAAUCAACGCUGGCGGCGUGCCUAACACAUGCAAGUCGAACGCGACUUGGGCUUCGGCUCAAGUUGAGUGGCGAACGGGUGAGUAACACGUGGGUGACCUACCUUCGAGUGGGGGAUAACGUCCCGAAAGGGACGCUAAUACCGCAUAACAUCCUGCCUUUGAACAGGUGGAGAUCAAAGCCGGGGAUCGCAAGACCUGGCGCUUGAUGAGGGGCCCGCGCCUGAUUAGCUAGUUGGUGGGGUAAUGGCCUACCAAGGCGACGAUCAGUAUCCGGCCUGAGAGGGCGGACGGACACACUGGGACUGAGACACGGCCCAGACUCCUACGGGAGGCAGCAGUGGGGAAUUGUUCGCAAUGGGCGCAAGCCUGACGACGCAACGCCGCGUGGAGGAUGAAGGUCUUCGGAUUGUAAACUCCUGUUGCUCGGGACGAAAAGCUUCGACCUAACACGUCGAAGUCUGACGGUACCGAGUGAGGAAGCCCCGGCUAACUCUGUGCCAGCAGCCGCGGUAAUACAGAGGGGGCAAGCGUUGUUCGGAAUUACUGGGCGUAAAGGGCGCGUAGGCGGCCUGCUAAGUCGAACGUGAAAUCCCUGGGCUCAACCCAGGAACUGCGUCCGAUACUGGUUGGCUUGAAUCCGGGAGAGGGAUGUGGAAUUCCAGGUGUAGCGGUGAAAUGCGUAGAUAUCUGGAGGAAC